UCUCCGUAGGUGAACCUGCGGAGGGAUCAUUACAGAGUUCAUGCCCUCACGGGUAGAUCUCCCACCCUGUGUUAUUAUACUUUGUUGCUUUGGCAGGCCGCCCGCGUGGGCUACCGGCUCCAGCUGGUAAGUGCCUGCCAGAGGACCCCAAACUCUGAAUACUUUAUUGUCUGAGUACUAUAUAAUAGUUUAAAACUUUCAACAACGGAUCUCUUGGUUCUG
RNAcentral lists this unclassified non-coding RNA (222 nucleotides) under plant metagenome. RNAcentral's name for it is "partial contains small subunit ribosomal RNA, internal transcribed spacer 1, and 5.8S ribosomal RNA". The record is from RNAcentral.